UGUGGUACGCCGCUCCGUAGCGCCGUGCGAAAGGACACGGAGCGGCUGUGCGAGUGAUCGGUGCCCCUGUCGGGGGUUGCGGAUCACGAGCUGUCUGGCGUCCGGGAGGUGCGAACUCUCGGGCGCCGAUG
Molecule: non-coding RNA, 131 nt
Filed under: Streptomyces sp. CB03234
Lineage: Bacteria; Bacillati; Actinomycetota; Actinomycetes; Kitasatosporales; Streptomycetaceae
Description: Streptomyces RNA 6925
Rfam family: Streptomyces RNA 6925
About the family: Identified by deep sequencing of transcriptome at the end of exponential growth phase. Sequencing size consistent with northern blot size.
Source: Rfam by way of RNAcentral